UUCCGGUUGAUCCUGCCGGAGGCUACCGCUAUUGGAGUUCGAUUAAGCCAUGCGAGUCGUGAGUCCUAGGGACUCGGCGUACCGCUCAGUAACACGUGGGUAACCUGCCCUAUGCUGGGGAAUAACCUCGAGAAAUUGAGAAUAAUGCCCCAUAGUUCACCACGCCUGGAACGGUGGGUGGAUGAAAGCUCCGGCGGCAUAGGAUGGGCCUGCGGCGUAUCAGGUUGUAGGGGGUGUAAUGUACCCUCUAGCCAUCCACGCGUACGGGUGUUGGGAGACAUCGCCCGGAGAUGGAUUCUGAGACACGAAUCCAGACCCUACGGGGUGCAGCAGGCGCGAAAACUUGGCAAUGCGAGCAAUCGUGACCAGGGAACUCCAAGUGCAUCGGGUAAGACCGAUGCUUUUCUUGACUCUUCAAAGGUCUUGGAAUAAGGGGUGGGUAAGGACGGUGCCAGCCGCCGCGGUAAUACCGGCGCCUCAAGUGGUAGUCGCUUUUAUUGGGCCUAAAACGUCCGUAGCCGGUUUGGUACAUUCGUGGGUAAAUCAAGACGCUCAACGUCUUGAAUUCUGCGAGCACGGCCAGACUUGGGACCGGGUGAGGUGUGGGGUACUCUCAGGGUAGGGGUAAAAUCCUGUCAUCCUGAGAGGACCACCUGUUGCGAAGGCGCCACACUAGAACGGAUCCGACGGUCAGGGACGAAGCCUAGGGGCACGAACCGGAUUAGAUACCCGGGUAGUCCUAGGUGUAAACGCUGUGGACUUGACGUUGGGAGUGCUCCGAGCGCCCUCAGUGUCGAAGCGAAGGUGAUAAGUCCACUGCCUGGGGAGUACGGUCGCAAGGCUGAAACUUAAAGGAAUUGGCGGGGAGCACUGCAACCUGAGGAUUGUGCGGUUUAAUUGGAUUCACGCCGGA
This 913-nucleotide ribosomal RNA is filed under the name uncultured archaeon. RNAcentral's name for it is "bacterial SSU rRNA". It matches the Rfam family "Archaeal small subunit ribosomal RNA", at positions 1 to 922 of the family's 1478-position model. The record is from RNAcentral.